UCAAGGUUAAAACUCAAAUGAAUUGACGGGGGCCCGCACAAGCGGUGGAGCAUGUGGUUUAAUUCGAUGCAACGCGAAGAACCUUACCUGGUCUUGACAUCCAUAGAAUUCUGCAGAGAUGUGGGAGUGCCUUCGGGAACUAUGAGACAGGUGCUGCAUGGCUGUCGUCAGCUCGUGUUGUGAAAUGUUGGGUUAAGUCCCGCAACGAGCGCAACCCUUAUUCUUUGUUGCCAGCGAUUUGGUCGGGAACUCAAAGGAGACUGCCGUUGAUAAAGCGGAGGAAGGUGGGGACGACGUCAAGUCAUCAUGGCCCUUACGACCAGGGCUACACACGUGCUACAAUGGCGUAUACAAAGGGAAGCGAAGGUGCGAGCUGGAGCGGAUCUCAUAAAGUACGUCUAAGUUCGGAUUGGAGUCUGCAACUCGACUCCAUGAAGUCGGAAUCGCUAGUAAUCGUAGAUCAGAAUGCUACGGUGAAUACGUUCCCGGGCCUUGUACACACCGCCCGUCACACCAUGGGAGUGGGUUGCACCAGAAGUAGAUAGCUUAACCGCGAGGGGGGCGUUUACCACGGUGUGAUUCAUGACUGGGGUGAAGUCGUAACAAGGUAACCA
Molecule: ribosomal RNA, 614 nt
Filed under: uncultured Enterobacteriaceae bacterium
Lineage: Bacteria; Pseudomonadati; Pseudomonadota; Gammaproteobacteria; Enterobacterales; Enterobacteriaceae
Description: bacterial SSU rRNA
Rfam family: Bacterial small subunit ribosomal RNA
Source: RNAcentral